Molecule: ribosomal RNA, 446 nt
Filed under: uncultured bacterium
Lineage: Bacteria
Description: partial 16S ribosomal RNA
Rfam family: Bacterial small subunit ribosomal RNA
Source: RNAcentral
CCUACGGGUGGCAGCAGUCGAGAAUCAUUCACAAUGGGGGAAACCCUGAUGGUGCGACGCCGCGUGGGGGAAUGAAGGUCUUCGGAUUGUAAACCCCUGUCAUGUGGGAGCAAAUUAAAAAGAUAGUACCACAAGAGGAAGAGACGGCUAACUCUGUGCCAGCAGCCGCGGUAAUACAGAGGUCUCAAGCGUUGUUCGGAAUCACUGGGCGUAAAGCGUGCGUAGGCUGUUUCGUAAGUCGUGUGUGAAAGGCGCGGACUCAACCCGCGGACGGCACAUGAUACUGCGAGACUAGAGUAAUGGAGGGGGAACCGGAAUUCUCGGUGUAGCAGUGAAAUGCGUAGAUAUCGAGAGGAACACUCGUGGCGAAGGCGGGUUCCUGGACAUUAACUGACGCUGAGGCACGAAGGCCAGGGGAGCGAAAGGGAUUAGAUACCCCGGUAGUC